RNAcentral lists this unclassified non-coding RNA (1045 nucleotides) under Acyrthosiphon pisum (pea aphid). Its description in RNAcentral is "rCC1 domain-containing protein 1, transcript variant X1". The record is from RNAcentral. Lineage: Eukaryota; Metazoa; Arthropoda; Insecta; Hemiptera; Aphididae.
UUUUUUUUUGUAAAAUAGUAAAUUAUUUUAUGUUCUGUUAUAUUGUAAUGUCUUGCAAUACAACAACAGACUUAGAUUCAUAUUUAAACAGCAUCAUGGGUAUGUUUUGGUGUGGAUUUAACGGGUUCAACCAAUUGAACAUUGAAUCGAACGUCAACUUGGAUUUUCAUGCUCAUGGUGACAAUGGAGAUUAUGGUGAAAUUCUACAAGUGGCUUUUUCUUGGAGUACUGCUUCUAUUUUGACAAGUUCUGGUAUAAUUGUUGCAAGUGGCCUCAUCAACAAAAAAAUUAUCAAUUUUGAAGUAUUGGAUGAUUUAGGAUAUGGUCCUUUUAAAUCUAUUUCUUCAUCUGAAUCAAAGAUAUUAGCUAUUGAUUCAAUUGGCAAAUGUUGGUCGUAUUCAAAAUGUAAUGGCAAGUGGAAAGAUAUUACUUCAAUAUUACAAAGUGAAAAGCAAGUCUCUGUAUCCAAAAAUCAAAACCAACAAUCUAUAAAUUAUGUAUGCUGUAGUGAUACAAUUCAUCUAGCAGUUACACAUAAUGAAAUUUAUUCAAUUCCUACUAAAAUAUUCGAUUCAAAAUUCAAAGUCACUCAAGUAGUGUGUGGCUUUGAACAUAUUGUUAUUUUAAUGGAAACUGGUUGCUUAUAUACACAAGGAUCCAGUAGCCGAGGUCAAUUAGGUCAUGGUGAAUUAAUUGAAGAAGAUUAUCCACGGCUUUUAAAAUCUUUAGAUGGUAUUCGAGUGAUUAAUACUUCUGCUGGCGGUUGGCAUACUGCUGCAAUUACAGAGUAUAAUGAUCUAUACAUGUGGGGCUGGAAUCAUUCUGGGCAACUAGGAAUUUCAAAUUCCCCAGGUUGAAUGUUUUGUAUGACUUUAUUUGGUUUACGGCACUAAUAAGGGUAUUCAAAAUAAUUAUAACAGAAAGUGGUGGUAUAAUAAUGGCUCCAGAACCAGUACUGAUUAAUUGGCCAGAAGAGACAGAUAUUGAACAAGUGAGUUUGGGGGCAAGACAUUCAAUGGUUCUAUCUAAGAACAAUAUACUUUGG